RNAcentral lists this ribosomal RNA (581 nucleotides) under Micromonospora lutea. RNAcentral describes it as "bacterial SSU rRNA". It matches the Rfam family "Bacterial small subunit ribosomal RNA", at positions 248 to 837 of the family's 1533-position model. The record is from RNAcentral. Lineage: Bacteria; Bacillati; Actinomycetota; Actinomycetes; Micromonosporales; Micromonosporaceae.
UGUGGUGGGGGGGAUGGCCUACCAAGGCGACGACGGGUAGCCGGCCUGAGAGGGCGACCGGCCACACUGGGACUGAGACACGGCCCCAGACUCCUACGGGAGGCAGCAGUGGGGGAAUAUUGCACAAUGGGCGGAAGCUGAUGCAGCGACGCCGCGUGAGGGAUGACGGCCUUUCGGGUUGUAAACCUCUUUCAGCAGGGACGAAGCGCAAGUGACGGUACCUGCAGAAGAAGCGCCGGCCAACUACGUGCCAGCAGCCGCGGUAAGACGUAGGGCGCGAGCGUUGUCCGGAUUUAUUGGGCGUAAAGAGCUCGUAGGCGGCUUGUCGCGUCGACUGUGAAAACCCACGGCUCAACUGUGGGCUUGCAGUCGAUACGGGCAGGCUAGAGUUCGGUAGGGGAGACUGGAAUUCCUGGUGUAGCGGUGAAAUGCGCAGAUAUCAGGAGGAACACCGGUGGCGAAGGCGGGUCUCUGGGCCGAUACUGACGCUGAGGAGCGAAAGCGUGGGGAGCGAACAGGAUUAGAUACCCUGGUAGUCCACGCUGUAAACGUUGGGCGCUAGGUGUGGGGGGCCUUCCGGU